AAACUGCUGGAAGGUGUUUACUCGAUCAUGGGAAUCGACGGCCAUCAAUGAACGAUAUAGUGACACAACUCGAGGCUGCAUUAGAGCAGCAAGAAGUCACAGAAGGUAAGGUGCUCAACUCCUAAGGAGCUGACUCAAUACAUAUCGAUAUCCAGUCAGAGAGUCAAUAAUUCUAGGAUUCAACACGAGUCGAAUGCGUUUCAACGACUAUUAUCGUACUUGUUUCUGAUUUACCGCAAUGCACACCCUAAAUAUAGAAUUUAUUUAUCUUGAUUUCUUGAAUGAAAUAUUAGCUACUAUGUUCAUACAUUCUUCGUCCUCCCACCCUCAAAUGUUUGUUUUACACUACAAAAGUGAACAUCGAGAUCCGAAAAGGUCAGGAAAUUAUCAUAAACUGAAUUUAAAGCCCAGCAUUUCUCUCUUAUGAUUUUGAGUACCAAAUGAAUGAACUAAACAAAUUCAGGUGCUAGAACACAGUCAAAAUGAGAGAAGAACAAAAAUUUAAAUAUAAUUAACUACUCAUUCAUUUCAACUUCAAACACCAGCACACAGAUGCACACAGCGAAUUCCUUUCAUCAUUUUCAAAAUUACAUCAUUAUCAAAAUCCAAUUUGAAUCUAGACCAUCGAUAACACGAGCAAUUCAUAGAAGAUUAAAAAAAAAUAACGAAUCGGUUUAAAAUUCAAAGGAAGCACAUACAAAUUUCUGUAUUCAGCGUCGCAAAACUAGCAGAAGAAAUCCACAAAACUUGCAAUCUGUCAGGGCCCUAGGGAAGAACUGGAAUUGGGGUCGAAAAGGAAGAAGAAACCCUAGGGCUCGAAUUAGGGGAAUUGGGGAAAUUGUUAGCAUAGAAACGACACCGUUUGUUACAAUGAAGUUAAU
This 881-nucleotide long non-coding RNA is filed under the name Erythranthe guttata (spotted monkey flower). Its description in RNAcentral is "long non-coding RNA (EGUT_LNC000206)". The record is from RNAcentral. Lineage: Eukaryota; Viridiplantae; Streptophyta; Magnoliopsida; Lamiales; Phrymaceae.